UGGAGCCGGGGCUCUGUUUCGCCUGGGCCAUUGAUUAGAUGAGUGUUCAGAGUGAAGAACAGCGUGCGUGUCCCGCAAUGCAGCAUCCCUCCUUGCCUGCCAAUUAACCCAUGCUUGUUUUAUUGCAGAGAGGAAGCCAGGGAACCAGACUCCUGGAGUACCUUGUCUCACACCGUGCACUCGGGGGACUACAGUGUGAAGCACCACCGUGGGCUUGAUGUUUACAUGCUGACAGCUGAAGCCAAGGAAGGGGUAGCAGCCAGCUUGGAGAGUGACAUACGGCACCUUCAGAUGCACAUGCAGAGCCACCAGCACAUGAGUUUAAGACAGCAGACCAAGCCUGUACUGGAAGAUUCGGGAGACAGCUGUUCUAAAGGAGCAGAGCCAGAUGGUCACCUGACCACUACCUCUCAGAGCCUAGAAGAAGUGGCAAGAGAAGGAAGGCAGGAGUGUCCAUCUGAUCUUGUUCACCUGGACAUCAGGCAGCUCUCAGACCAAACCCACCAGGAGGAGAAAUGCAACAGCAGGAGUUUGGGAGCUUUUAAUGAUGCGCCAAAUGACUUGCUGAGCCUGGGGGAUGCAAAGAGCUCAGAGUGCUUCUGUGAAAGUAAAAAUAAAGUGACGUUGAGUAAAAAGGAAGAGGAGGGGCCAACCUCUGCUGAAGGCUCUGGGACUAUAUCAGAUGAGAACGACUGCACGGUGAGCCUGUGUGCAAGUGUAAACACUGCGGUAAAUCUUCCAUCCUGUGGAAAUACAAAUGAGGAAGCUGGAAUGACAUCUGCUGGAGUUGUUCUGGAUCAAGCUGGCUUGUGCAGUAAAGAUAGUCCCCAUCAGGAAGUUCAAGCUGCUGAGGAGCGUGCAGCUGGCAGUACUGUUACUGUGGUUGAAACUACAGGCGAAGCCCCAGCUUCCUUGGAGGGCGUGGAUGUGGCUAUGGGCCAAACUGAAUGCAGGAACUGUACAGGGGCAGCUGAGAGGGCUGCGGGCCAGCAGCAAGGAGAGGAUGGGAUGGCUGAGGCUGGUGAAAGGAGGACUACAAACACAGAAGAGCAAUUGCCAGCUAAGAAAGAGUCAGCCAGUGCCUCUCAGCCCUUACUCGGUGGUUUUAAUGGCACUGAGAGUGCAGACGGGGAGGAUGCAAAUGUGGGAGUGGUGUCGGCGUGUGACAGUACAAAUGCAGAUGAUGGCACUGGCAUUGUCUCCAUUGACCUUUGCAAGACCAGCAAUAACAAAGAGACUGGAGCAGAUUCAUGCACUGAUGAGGUAAACAGUGGCUUCUUGGAAAGCCAAGGUGAUGCCCAUGCUGCGGCGAGGCAGGAUGUCACUGCAAGUGCUGGGGCAGUGUUGCCAGCGGUGAAUAGGGUGAAGUUUCCCACAUGUGCAUCAAAACCUGAUCCUGGUUUGGAAAUCCAUGGCAGUGGGGAGCAAGAAGGGCAGAUGGAAGCAGGUUGCACAGUUGGGAAAUCCAGCUUGCCCUCCCUGAAAGACAGUAUGGAAACUGAUGGCCCUGACGCUAAACCUGAAAACAGUGAUGUUGGUGGAUCUAAUCAAAGUGGUGCAGAACCUGCACGUUGCCAGGAGAGCGGUAAGAUCACUGAACGUGCAGCUGAAGCAAUGGAGGGCAGCGAAGCCUGUGAAGAGGAGCCAGCAGGAGCUGAUACCAGCAGCAGUGGAGAUGGAGGAAGUGCAUAUUCUGCAGAUGCAGGUCAGGAAGUUGCUAGCUGUCACCCUUCUGCUGAUCAAACUGUUGUUGAAGAUGAAAUGGGCAACAGCUUCAAACCGGACACUGCUCAAGAGAGCAAAUACGAGCCUGCAUCGCUCCCUCUGGAGGAUGCCAGCGCAUGCCUGGCAGAAAAAGAGCCUGCACAAACUGAAGCAGAGAUAGCAGAAAGUGCUUCGGAGCAGGAGGGGCUGAGCAGCAAGAUGCAAUCACUCAUUUCCCUACCCAGAGGAGAAGGAUGGGCUGUGAGUCAGGAGGGAGAUGCUGCAGUGGCACCUCCCGGGCGGGAGGCAGCUCUGCAAGUUAACAACCCUGGGUUAGCUCCGUGUGCCAAGGGCACAGACUGUGUGGAGGAUAAUUUAAUAGACACGCCCUCUGUAAUUCAUAAUGAAGAAUCUAAACAAAACCAGGAAGCAGUGACGGUGGUGGCAGGCUCAGCAGAGCUUGCCCAGCAGCGUGGCGGGGAGCAUGGCAAGGUAGCUGCCGGAGCCAGCUGGCCUGAGGACCAUGCAGGGGAUGAGGGCUCUCUGGAGCAGAGCCUCUUGCAGGAGGCUGAAGGAGGCAAAGCUGAGCCUGAGCAGGAGGCUCGUGCAAGUGGCAGGGAGCAGGUCUUGUCGGAGGAACUUCUUGCUGUUGUUGUGAAACCCUCUGCCUGCUGUCAGGAGGGGCCUGUGGCGGGUGGCAGCGAUGUGGAUGCUGAGAUGAAAGGGACAGCCCGUACCAAGGAAGCGUGCAAGACCAGGGCAGUGGGUGCAGGAGAAAGCACCAUCCAUGAGCCUGCAUCGGCAGGCAAGUCACCAGGUGUGGAGAGUGACCCUUGUCCGGAUGCGGCCCUGAACCAAGAACAUUAUCCCAGUCAAACCCUACAACAAAUCUCCCCGCGCAGCAGUACCCCCGAAUUAAAGGAUGCUUCAGAAAUGAGAGCCCCGAGUGAUGCCUGUGAGGGUAAGGAAGUGUUAAGGCCAGUGACAAUAACCCCUGCCACAGCCUAUCCGGAAAAGCAGGAGGAUACGGAAAGCAUGCUGCCCCGGGCAGCGCUUCAGCCCAUCGCAGAAGAGCCCACGUGCGACAGCGACUCCAGCACCGACACCGUUUGUCCAGCUGGCGAGAGCGAUGCUGGUCGCACUGCAAAACCAGCUCAGGGGGAGGUCUUGGCUGAGCCCGAUGGGAAGCAAAGCCAACCUGUACCUGAAUCGCACUUGCCAUGUUUGUGCUAUUUGCAUGCUGUUGAGUCACUGGAAAAUGUGGGAGUAAAGAGUUUGGUUUCGUCAGGUGAUGGCUACUCGCUGGAUAAAGUUCCUAAAAUGGUAAAAAGUUUUGAUGCCGUGGUUUUUGCAGCGGAGACACCUUGUUCCCCUGAAUUACCAGCCACAGAAAAAGUGGGGCUUGAGACCCAGGCUGCAGUGGAUGUGGGAGCCAGCCUUAAUGGAGAAAUGGAUUUAAGUUUCUCAACGAAGAAGAGGAACGUCAGCCCAGCAGUGCAACAAGCUGAGCCUGUUACAGGUAGGAAGAAUCAGUUGGUUUCCUACUUUUUAGUUUUUACUUUGUAGGUGUGCCUCUAGCAUCUCAUCAGGAAAGGAAGGGAAAUAAGAGCAGGAGGCCUGCCUUGCGGAGGAAGUGUAGGUGGGGGUUUUCUUCGAAGAAAGAAAUCUGAAGUUACA
Long non-coding RNA from Accipiter nisus (Eurasian sparrowhawk), 3381 nucleotides. The record is from Ensembl. NCBI's taxonomy places the organism in Eukaryota, Metazoa, Chordata, Aves, Accipitriformes, Accipitridae.